Molecule: long non-coding RNA, 1097 nt
Organism: Numida meleagris (helmeted guineafowl)
Lineage: Eukaryota; Metazoa; Chordata; Aves; Galliformes; Numididae
Exons: 4
Source: RefSeq, a predicted model, not a curated record
CGGGCGGCCCGGCCGCAGCUGCUGGGGGCCAGGCGCAUCCACCGCCCCCUCAGAGGACCUAUAUAAACCGAAGUAUAUUUACCUGCGGGGAGGACUCCAGCAGCUCCCCCGGCCGCGCCGCUUUGUUCCCCGUGCCGCUCCGCACCUCCAGGGACUGGCUGCCGCAGAGCCCGGGCGCCUGGUGGAACCUGCUGACAAAAAGCGCGUGCUGGAAUUGCUUUGGCAAAAUCUCACAUGUGGAUUAUCCCAACUUUCUCUCUCAUUAAGAAGAUGGAGUAGAAAUGAAGAGCUGCUAGAAUAUCCCAAGUUCGAAGGGACCCAUAAGGAUCACCGAGUCCAACUUCUGGCUCCACAGGAUCACCCAAAAAUCAGACCAUAUGUCCGACAGCAUUGUUGGGAUGCUUCUUGAACUCGGGUAAGCUUGGUGCUGGGACCACUUCCUUGUCUGAUCACAUUGUCAGUGAAGAACCUUUUCCUGAUAUCCAACCUGAACCUCCUCUGUCAUCAAUCAUUAUCAAUAAUACUAUAGUAAUCUACCAGUGCAGAUACAGUUCUCUUUUUCUAGCAAAACUAUUCAAAAAUAAUACUUCAAAUUAUAAUAGCCAAAUUAUUCCACGGUUAAACAGCAAAAACCAGGAAGGGGAUGCUUAUGAGUGUGAAUGAUUGUGUGGGCUACCACAGGACUAAAUAUGUAAUUAAACUGUUUUCUUCUCUUUACUGUGCCAGAUAAUAAUUGUGUGGUUCUGUUUGACUUUCAAGUAAGUUACUGAUGUACGCAUUGCUGUUUGCUGCUUUACCACCACACUUUGCAUCCUUACUACAGCAGAAUCCAAGAUGGAGUUCAGACUGGCCAAAUACAGCAUGUUAAAUAAUCAACUUUAUCAGUAAAGUCCAGAAUUUAUGCUCUAAGAGACAGACAAAGCUGAAAUAACAGUUUCCUAAAGUAGGCUAGAAAAAGAUAAAGGAAGAGUGAAAGAAUCAAAUUUACCUACAUUUGAGAGAGCAGCAGCAGAUUUCACAUGAUUUAGGGUAAAAGCUAGGCUUGUGGAAGGAUCAGUAUUGUCUGGUCCCUUUUUCCUUCGAAAUACAAUCACAGA